AUGCUCACUUCAGCAGCACAUAUACUAAAGUUGGAACGUUACAGAGAAGAUUAGCAUGGCCCCUGUGCAAGGAUGACAUGCAAAUUAGUGAAGUGUUGCAUAUUAAA
Molecule: small nuclear RNA, 107 nt
Organism: Neomonachus schauinslandi (Hawaiian monk seal)
Lineage: Eukaryota; Metazoa; Chordata; Mammalia; Carnivora; Phocidae
Source: RefSeq, a predicted model, not a curated record